RNAcentral lists this ribosomal RNA (942 nucleotides) under Salmonella enterica. RNAcentral's name for it is "partial 23S ribosomal RNA". It matches the Rfam family "Bacterial large subunit ribosomal RNA", at positions 689 to 1547 of the family's 2925-position model. RNAcentral also lists the same sequence under 2 other names. The record is from RNAcentral. Lineage: Bacteria; Pseudomonadati; Pseudomonadota; Gammaproteobacteria; Enterobacterales; Enterobacteriaceae.
UGGGCGUUAAGUUGCAGGGUAUAGACCCGAAACCCGGUGAUCUAGCCAUGGGCAGGUUGAAGGUUGGGUAACACUAACUGGAGGACCGAACCGACUAAUGUUGAAAAAUUAGCGGAUGACCUGUGGCUGGGGGUGAAAGGCCAAUCAAACCGGGAGAUAGCUGGUUCUCCCCGAAAGCUAUUUAGGUAGCGCCUCGUGAAUUCAUCUCCGGGGGUAGAGCACUGUUUCGGCUAGGGGGCCAUCCCGGCUUACCAACCCGAUGCAAACUGCGAAUACCGGAGAAUGUUAUCACGGGAGACACACGGCGGGUGCUAACGUCCGUCGUGAAGAGGGAAACAACCCAGACCGCCAGCUAAGGUCCCAAAGUCAUGGUUAAGUGGGAAACGAUGUGGGAAGGCCCAGACAGCCAGGAUGUUGGCUUAGAAGCAGCCAUCAUUUAAAGAAAGCGUAAUAGCUCACUGGUCGAGUCGGCCUGCGCGGAAGAUGUAACGGGGCUAAACCAUGCACCGAAGCUGCGGCAGCGAACGUAUCACCCAAGACAACUUUACGGAGUUGACGAUUGACGGAGCGAAGCGACGUCAAAGCGUUCAUUAAAGUCGAGUUGGCUUAGGGAUACGUUCGUUGGGUAGGGGAGCGUUCUGUAAGCCUGUGAAGGUGUGUCGUGAGGCAUGCUGGAGGUAUCAGAAGUGCGAAUGCUGACAUAAGUAACGAUAAAGCGGGUGAAAAGCCCGCUCGCCGGAAGACCAAGGGUUCCUGUCCAACGUUAAUCGGGGCAGGGUGAGUCGACCCCUAAGGCGAGGCCGAAAGGCGUAGUCGAUGGGAAACGGGUUAAUAUUCCCGUACUUGGUGUUACUGCGAAGGGGGGACGGAGAAGGCUAUGUUGGCCGGGCGACGGUUGUCCCGGUUUAAGCGUGUAGGUGUGUGUUCCAGGUAAAUCCGGUU